AGCGAACGCUGGCGGCAGGCCUAACACAUGCCAGUCGAACGAACCUUUCGGGGUUAGUGGCGGACGGGGGAGUAACACGUGGGAACGUGCCUUUAGGUUCGGAAUAACUCAGGGAAACUUGUGCUAAUACCGAAUGUGCCCUUCGGGGGAAAGAUUUAUCGCCUUUAGAGGGGCCCGCGUCUGAUUAGCUAGUUGGUUGAGGUAAUGGCUCACCAAGGCGACGAUCAGUAGCUGGUCUGAGAGGAGGACCAGCCACAUUGGGACGGAGACACGGCCCAAACUCCUACGGGAGGCAGCAGUGGGGAAUCUUGCGCAAUGGGCGAAAGCCUGACGAAGCAAGGCCGCGUGAAUGAUGAAGGUCUUAGGAUUGUAAAAUUCUUUAACCGGGGACGAUAAUGACGGUACCCGGAGAAGAAGCCCCGGCUAACUUCGUG
RNAcentral lists this ribosomal RNA (434 nucleotides) under uncultured bacterium. RNAcentral's name for it is "partial 16S ribosomal RNA". It matches the Rfam family "Bacterial small subunit ribosomal RNA", at positions 29 to 507 of the family's 1533-position model. The record is from RNAcentral.